Molecule: unclassified non-coding RNA, 140 nt
Filed under: Bacillus cereus
Lineage: Bacteria; Bacillati; Bacillota; Bacilli; Caryophanales; Bacillaceae
Description: 16S-23S ribosomal RNA intergenic spacer
Source: RNAcentral
AUGGAGAAUUGAUGAACGCUGUUCAUCAAUAAAGUUUCCGUGUUUCGUUUUGUUCAGUUUUGAGAGAACUAUCUCUCAUAUAUAAAUGUAUGUUCUUUGAAAACUAGAUAACAGUGUAGCUCAUAUUUUUUAAUUUUUAG